UAAGAGCAGAUAAUAAUGUGGGCAAUGAGCACGCUCUACAUCUUAAAGCUCACGACGGAGCAGAGGACGUCCGCGCCACAAUGGCAGCAAUUUUGGAUUGUCUUGACAAGCUGGCUCUUGCUGAAAUCUCAGCCAAAGCGGGAUGGGUUAAGAAGUACAACUUCAACUUCACUGCAGCCAUGAAAUCUUACAGG
Dermacentor albipictus is the source of this 194-nucleotide long non-coding RNA. RefSeq lists it as uncharacterized. The record is from RefSeq and is a predicted model, not a curated record. Lineage: Eukaryota; Metazoa; Arthropoda; Arachnida; Ixodida; Ixodidae.